RNAcentral lists this ribosomal RNA (451 nucleotides) under Kocuria rosea. RNAcentral describes it as "bacterial SSU rRNA". It matches the Rfam family "Bacterial small subunit ribosomal RNA", at positions 133 to 596 of the family's 1533-position model. The record is from RNAcentral. Lineage: Bacteria; Bacillati; Actinomycetota; Actinomycetes; Micrococcales; Micrococcaceae.
UGACUCUGGGAUAAGCCUGGGAAACUGGGUCUAAUACUGGAUACUACCUCUUACCGCAUGGUGGGUGGUGGAAAGGGUUUUACUGGUUUUGGAUGGGCUCACGGCCUAUCAGCUUGUUGGUGGGGUAAUGGCUCACCAAGGCGACGACGGGUAGCCGGCCUGAGAGGGUGACCGGCCACACUGGGACUGAGACACGGCCCAGACUCCUACGGGAGGCAGCAGUGGGGAAUAUUGCACAAUGGGCGGAAGCCUGAUGCAGCGACGCCGCGUGAGGGAUGACGGCCUUCGGGUUGUAAACCUCUUUCAGUAGGGAAGAAGCGAGAGUGACGGUACCUGCAGAAGAAGCGCCGGCUAACUACGUGCCAGCAGCCGCGGUAAUACGUAGGGCGCAAGCGUUGUCCGGAAUUAUUGGGCGUAAAGAGCUCGUAGGCGGUUUGUCGCGUCUGCUGUG